ACCCUAUGACUAAAAUACACUGUUC
RNAcentral lists this non-coding RNA (25 nucleotides) under Cricetulus griseus (Chinese hamster). The record is from RNAcentral. Lineage: Eukaryota; Metazoa; Chordata; Mammalia; Rodentia; Cricetidae.